This 460-nucleotide ribosomal RNA is filed under the name uncultured bacterium. RNAcentral's name for it is "partial 16S ribosomal RNA". It matches the Rfam family "Bacterial small subunit ribosomal RNA", at positions 338 to 795 of the family's 1533-position model. The record is from RNAcentral.
CCUACGGGAGGCAGCAGUGAGGAAUAUUGGUCAAUGGACGAGAGUCUGAACCAGCCAAGUAGCGUGAAGGAUGACUGCCCUAUGGGUUGUAAACUUCUUUUAUAAGGGAAUAAAACGAGGCACGUGUGCCCUUUUGCAUGUACUUUAUGAAUAAGGAUCGGCUAACUCCGUGCCAGCAGCCGCGGUAAUACGGAGGAUCCGAGCGUUAUCCGGAUUUAUUGGGUUUAAAGGGAGCGUAGAUGGGUUGUUAAGUCAGUUGUGAAAGUUUGCGGCUCAACCGUAAAAUUGCAAUUGAUACUGGCAGUCUUGAGUUCAGUUGAGGUAGGCGGAAUUCGUGGUGUAGCGGUGAAAUGCUUAGAUAUCGCGAAGAACUCCGAUUGCGAAGGCAGCUUACUAAACUGUGACUGACACUGAUGCUCGAAAGUGUGGGUAUCAAACAGGAUUAGAUACCCUGGUAGUC